GAUCCGGAGUUGCGCGAUCGUAACGCCCGAACCUUGUCAGGACCGGAAGGUAGCAGCAAUAAGGGAUGCUUAUGAUAGGCGCAAGCCUCCGGGUCGUC
RNAcentral lists this signal recognition particle RNA (98 nucleotides) under Cyanobacteria bacterium SW_9_44_58. RNAcentral describes it as "signal recognition particle sRNA small type". It matches the Rfam family "Bacterial small signal recognition particle RNA". From Rfam's summary of the family: The signal recognition particle (SRP) is a universally conserved ribonucleoprotein involved in the co-translational targeting of proteins to membranes. Archaeal SRP consists of a 7S RNA and homologues of the eukaryotic SRP19 and SRP54 proteins. Lineage: Bacteria; Bacillati; Cyanobacteriota. The record is from RNAcentral.